This 424-nucleotide ribosomal RNA is filed under the name uncultured bacterium. Its description in RNAcentral is "bacterial SSU rRNA". It matches the Rfam family "Bacterial small subunit ribosomal RNA", at positions 354 to 776 of the family's 1533-position model. The record is from RNAcentral.
GUAGGGAAUAUUGGGCAAUGGGCGGAAGCCUGACCCAGCCAUGCCGCGUGCAGGAUGAAGGCCUUCUGGGUUGUAAACUGCUUUUACCAGGGAAGAAAACACCCAUGCGUGGGGAACUGACGGUACCUGGGGAAUAAGCACCGGCUAACUCCGUGCCAGCAGCCGCGGUAAUACGGAGGGUGCAAGCGUUGUCCGGAUUUAUUGGGUUUAAAGGGUGCGUAGGCGGCCUUUUAAGUCAGUGGUGAAAGCCCGCGGCUCAACCGCGGAACUGCCAUUGAUACUGGAAGGCUUGAGUACAGACGAGGUAGGCGGAAUUGAAGAUGUAGCGGUGAAAUGCUUAGAUAUCUUCAAGAACACCGAUUGCGUAGGCAGCUUACUAGGCUGUAACUGACGCUGAGGCACGAAAGCGUGGGGAGCGAACAGG